CUCCUUGUAGGCACAGUGUACAUGCAACUCUUGUUCCUUGACCUAUUGGGGCACAUCCCGCGAUUUACCUCCCUCACAAAGUUUUAGGGGCGAAAUGGUGGGGGUCCUCAAGAUUGGGGUUCAACCUUUUUUUUAACCUGCGAGAGCCGACUUCAUUGGCCAGAGAAAAGGGUUGAAAUAGACAACUUCUCUUGAUUUAAAAUGCACGCCAUCUUCACGUGUUGUCUCCAUCAACAUUGAAUGUUGACACAAUAGUCCAAAGCAAGACUGGAGACCAUGCAUUGCCGGCUACUUCAACGGAUUUAAUGGUGGUUGCCGGAGAUAAUGUUUGUCACGGCUAACUAAACACCCAUAGGAGGAAAAAUCUUGACCAAGACAUUCAGCCGAACACCUUCUGGGCAUCAUCAAAAUAUGAAACUUUCCUUGAGAAAUUGCAUAUACUUACUUCGAAGUUUCAUCAAAUUCAGAUGGAAUUGCUUGAAAAGAUUCUUUUGUUGUUGGAAAAAAUAUUUUGCUCACGGCAGCCAUUUGUCCUCAUUUUUCGUGGUUGUCUUAUGAAACAUAUCUGUGGCUCAUUU
RNAcentral lists this long non-coding RNA (578 nucleotides) under Olea europaea subsp. europaea. The record is from RNAcentral. Lineage: Eukaryota; Viridiplantae; Streptophyta; Magnoliopsida; Lamiales; Oleaceae.